CGUGAACCGUGCGCCUAGGUGGUGAUUGUCGUCAUUGUUUUAGGUUGUCCGGGUGGUCGUUAUGGUGCCCGAGGCCCUUUGUGGCUGCGUUGUUUGUGUUUUGUGUUGGUGGUUUAGGGAGGCAGUUGUUGUCUAACCUAUGUCUCUGAUGGUUGCGAAACCCGUGUAUGUAUGUGUACGUGUGAUUAUGCUCCUUGUGGGCUGUGUCUCGGAUCGCUGCCUUCUGGUG
Non-coding RNA from Pelobates cultripes (western spadefoot toad), 229 nucleotides. NCBI's taxonomy places the organism in Eukaryota, Metazoa, Chordata, Amphibia, Anura, Pelobatidae. The record is from the annotation of a GenBank genome assembly.